CCUACGGGAGGCAGCAGUGGGGAAUAUUGCACAAUGGGCGAAAGCCUGAUGCAGCAACGCCGCGUGAGCGAUGAAGGCCUUCGGGGCGUAAAGCUCUGUCCUCAAGGAAGAUAAUGACGGUACUUGAGGAGGAAGCCCCGGCUAACUACGUGCCAGCAGCCGCGGUAAUACGUAGGGGGCUAGCGUUAUCCGGAAUUACUGGGCGUAAAGGGUGCGUAGGUGGUUUCUUAAGUCAGAGGUGAAAGGCUACGGCUCAACCGUAGUAAGCCUUUGAAACUGGGAAACUUGAGUGCAGGAGAGGAGAGUGGAAUUCCUAGUGUAGCGGUGAAAUGCGUAGAUAUUAGGAGGAACACCAGUUGCGAAGGCGGCUCUCUGGACUGUAACUGACACUGAGGCACGAAAGCGUGGGGAGCAAACAGGAUUAGAUACCCUUGUAGUC
Molecule: ribosomal RNA, 439 nt
Filed under: uncultured bacterium
Lineage: Bacteria
Description: partial 16S ribosomal RNA
Rfam family: Bacterial small subunit ribosomal RNA
Source: RNAcentral